AUUGAACGCUGGCGGCAGGCCUAACACAUGCAAGUCGCACGAGUGGCGGACGGGUGAGUAAUGUCUGGGAAACUGACCGAUGGAGGGGGCUAACUACUGGAAACGGUAGCUAAUACCGCAUACCAUCGGAUGUGCCCAGAUGGGCUUAGCUAGUAGGUGGGGUAAUGGCUCACCUAGGCGACGAUCCCUCGCUGGGCUGAGAGGAUGACCAGCCCCACUGGAACUGAGACACGGCCCAGACUCCUACGGUAGGUAGCAGUGGUGAAUAUUGCACAAUGGGCGCAAGCCUGAUGCAGCCAUGCCGCGUGUAUGAAGAAGGCCUUCGGGUUGGAAAGUACUUUCAGCGAGGAGGCGUUACUCGCAGAAGAAGCACCGGCUAACUCCGUGCCAGCAGCCGCGGUAAUUC
RNAcentral lists this ribosomal RNA (406 nucleotides) under uncultured bacterium. RNAcentral describes it as "partial 16S ribosomal RNA". It matches the Rfam family "Bacterial small subunit ribosomal RNA", at positions 30 to 526 of the family's 1533-position model. The record is from RNAcentral.